This 478-nucleotide ribosomal RNA is filed under the name uncultured bacterium. Its description in RNAcentral is "partial 16S ribosomal RNA". It matches the Rfam family "Bacterial small subunit ribosomal RNA", at positions 28 to 523 of the family's 1533-position model. The record is from RNAcentral.
GACGAACGCUGGCGCCGUGCUUAACACAUGCAAGCCGAACGGUAAGGCCCUUCGGGGUACACGAGUGGCGAACGGGUGAGUAACACGUGGGUGAUCUGCCCUGCACUUCGGGAUAAGCCUGGGAAACUGGGUCUAAUACCGGAUAGGACUCCUGGCUUCAUGGUUGGGGGUGGAAAGCUUUUGCGGUGUGGGAUGGGCCCGCGGCCUAUCAGCUUGUUGGUGGGGUAAUGGCCUACCAAGGCGACGACGGGUAGCCGGCCUGGGAGGGUGACCGGUCACGCUGGGACUGAGAUACGGCCCAGACUCCUACGGGAGGAAGCAGUGGGGAAUAUUGCACAAUGGGCGCAAGCCUGAUGCAGCGACGCCGCGUGAGGGAUGACGGCCUUCGGGUUGUAAACCUCUUUCAGCUAUGACGAAGCGCAAGUGACGGUAGUAGCAGAAGAAGGACCGGCCAACUACGUGCCAGCCGCCGCGGUAA